RNAcentral lists this ribosomal RNA (498 nucleotides) under uncultured bacterium. Its description in RNAcentral is "partial 16S ribosomal RNA". It matches the Rfam family "Bacterial small subunit ribosomal RNA", at positions 28 to 507 of the family's 1533-position model. The record is from RNAcentral.
GACGAACGCUGGCGGCGUGCCUAAUACAUGCAAGUCGAGAGGACGAAUCGAAAGCUUGCUUUUGAUUCGUUAGCGGCGGACGGGUGAGUAACACGUGGGCAACCUGCCCUGUAGACGGGGAUAACACCGAGAAAUCGGUGCUAAUACCGGAUAACACGAAAUGUCGCAUGACGUUUCGUUGAAAGACGGCGCAAGCUGCCGCUACAGGAUGGGCCCGCGGCGCAUUAGCUAGUUGGUGAGGUAACGGCUCACCAAGGCGACGAUACGUAGCCGACCUGAGAGGGUGAUCGGCCACACUGGGACUGAGACACGGCCCAGACUCCUACGGGAGGCAGCAGUAGGGAAUCUUCCGCAAUGGACGAAAGUCUGACGGAGCAACGCCGCGUGAGCGAAGAAGGCCUUCGGGUCGUAAAGCUCUGUUGUUAGGGAAGAACAAGUAACGCAGUAACUGGCGUUACCGUGACGGUACCUAACGAGAAAGCCACGGCUAACUACGUG